AGGCCCAUCACUGAGGUACUUCAGCACAACCUUCAUUUUAAAUGGCUUCCCUAGCGUUGCUGCAGUGCUUCCAGUUGUGGAAAUGCUGAAGCACCUGCCCAGACUGGAGUGGGAAAUACUGAUAAGAGAGGCAUCAGCCUCUCUCUGUUGCACUGCCACUGCAGGGGAUGGGAUCAUAAACCAGCAAUUAGGGAAGGGUUAAAGAGACCUAAGGACACUGGUGAAGGUGACAGGAAAAUUAAUUUAUUUUUCAGUUCUGGUUUUGUGUGCUGAGAUCUCGAGGAAAUGUUGAAAAUGUUAUCUCAGCAAUUUACACUUGUUUUUAAUGUGAU
This 332-nucleotide long non-coding RNA is filed under the name Taeniopygia guttata (zebra finch). Its description in RNAcentral is "lncRNA (ENSTGUG00000025623.1)". The record is from RNAcentral. Lineage: Eukaryota; Metazoa; Chordata; Aves; Passeriformes; Estrildidae.